GAUGAACGCUAGCGGGAGGCCUAACACAUGCAAGCCGAGCGGUAGAGUUUCUUCGGAAACUUGAGAGCGGCGCACGGGUGCGUAACACGUGUGCAACCUACCUUUAUCUGGGGGAUAGCCUUUCGAAAGGAGGAUUAAUACCCCAUAAUAUAAUGAUUGGCAUCAAUUAUUAUUGAAAACUCCGGUGGAUAGAGAUGGGCACGCGCAAGAUUAGAUAGUUGGUGAGGUAACGGCUCACCAAGUCAAUGAUCUUUAGGGGUCCUGAGAGGGAGAUCCCCCACACUGGUACUGAGACACGGACCAGACUCCUACGGGAGGCAGCAGUGAGGAAUAUUGGACAAUGGGUGAGAGCCUGAUCCAGCCAUCCCGCGUGAAGGAUGACGGUCCUAUGGAUUGUAAACUUCUUUUGUACAGGGAUAAACCUACCCUCGUGAGGGUAGCUGAAGGUACUGUACGAAUAAGCACCGGCUAACUCCG
RNAcentral lists this ribosomal RNA (477 nucleotides) under uncultured bacterium. Its description in RNAcentral is "partial 16S ribosomal RNA". It matches the Rfam family "Bacterial small subunit ribosomal RNA", at positions 28 to 505 of the family's 1533-position model. The record is from RNAcentral.